RNAcentral lists this ribosomal RNA (356 nucleotides) under uncultured Rubellimicrobium sp. RNAcentral's name for it is "bacterial SSU rRNA". It matches the Rfam family "Bacterial small subunit ribosomal RNA", at positions 28 to 412 of the family's 1533-position model. The record is from RNAcentral. Lineage: Bacteria; Pseudomonadati; Pseudomonadota; Alphaproteobacteria; Rhodobacterales; Roseobacteraceae.
AACGAACGCCGGCGGCAGGCUUAACACAUGCAAGUCGAGCGGGCCCUUCGGGGUCAGCGGCGGACGGGUUAGUAACGCGUGGGAACGUGCCUUCUGCUUCGGAAUAGCCCUGGGAAACUGGGGGUAAUACCGGAUGUGCCCUGAGGGGGAAAGAUUCAUCGGCAGGAGAUCGGCCCGCGUCCGAUUAGGUAGUUGGUGGGGUAACGGCCCACCAAGCCGACGAUCGGUAGCUGGUUUGAGAGGAUGAUCAGCAACACUGGGACUGAGACACGGCCCAGACUCCUACGGGAGGCAGCAGUGGGGAAUCUUAGACAAUGGGGGCAACCCUGAUCUAGCCAUGCCGCGUGGGUGAUGAA